Long non-coding RNA from Ipomoea triloba (trilobed morning glory), 1060 nucleotides. RefSeq lists it as uncharacterized. Lineage: Eukaryota; Viridiplantae; Streptophyta; Magnoliopsida; Solanales; Convolvulaceae. The transcript has 2 exons. The record is from RefSeq and is a predicted model, not a curated record.
GUAGAUAUUUUAUGUCUAUUACUGAUGACUUUUCUCGUAAAGUCUGGGUCUAUUUCCUGAAACAUAAAAAUCAGGAAUUUUCUAUUUUCAAAAAGUGGAAAAUUCUCGUUGAGACUCAAACAGGAAAAAAGGUCAAGAAGCUCAGGACAGACAAUGGCUUGGAGUUCUGUGAGAGAGAUUUCACUAAGUUGCAGCACAAGGAAUUGCCAGGCACAAAACCUUGCCUGGAAAACCCCAGCAAAAUGGUGUUGCCGAACGUAUGAACAGGACUCUAUUAGAGAGAGCUCGUUGUAUGCUCUCUAAUGCUGGGUUAUGGAAAUGCCGUGACUUUUGGGCCGAAGCCGUUUCUACUGCAUCCUAUUUGGUAAAUAGGUCUCCACAUGCAUCCCUCGAUUUCAACAUUCCAGAGAAAGUUUGGUCAGGUGAUACAUAGAGUACUGGUGAGAAGGUGGAGUUUGAGUUCAGGCCUAUGAAUAGUAUUACUACCACUGAUGAUAAUACAAACGAUAAUGCAUCUACUAGUACUGCGCCUCUCGUCGAGCAACAACGAGAGUAUUCUAUCGCCCAAGACCGGCCUAGGAGGACAAUUAAAAAACCUGCUAGGUAUGCUACUAGUGAUGAUGAAACCCACUUGGUUGCUUACGCACUUUCAGUUGCACAGGAGUUUGAUGGUGAUCCAUCCGGUUAUUCUGAGGCUAUUUCCUAUGUCAACUCGUCCAAGUGGUUAGUUACUUACCAAGCCUCUUCCAAUUACUAAGUUCAAGUAGUGCUUGAGUUUAGUCAACUGUUUCAGUGGCGAAUUCUACCAUGUAUUUGAUCCAAAGUGGAGAUUGUUAGAAAAAUAAUGUAUGGCUCAAAUCCAUGUUGUCACCUUGCAGCACAUAGGCAUCCACGUAGCAUGUCUUCAUUCUCCACCUCCUACACGUUCCCCGAACUUAGCUCUCAUUCUUAUGUUUGCCGCACAUUUCUCUAAUUUUAGUGUAUAAAUAGUUAUCUUUGUUUUGUAAUUCAAAUGCAUCAAUAUCAUCUAUUGUAAUUCAUUCUUCUUUCUUUUCUUUUA